UAAUCUGGUUGAUCCUGCCAGUAGUCAUAUGCUUGUCUCAAAGACUAAGCCAUGCAUGUCUAAGUAUAAGCGAUUUAUAGUGAAACUGCGAAUGGCUCAUUAAAACAGUUACAGUUUAUUUGAUAAUCGAAUUUUACAUGGAUAACCGUGGUAAUUCUAGAGCUAAUACAUGCUGUUAAGCCCAACUUUUCGGAAGGGCUGUAUUUAUUAGAUACAAACCAAUAUUCCUUCGGGUCUAUUGUGAUGAUUCAAUAUAACUGAUCGAAUCGCAUGGUCUUGCACCGCGAUAAAUCAUUCAAGUUUCUGCCCCAUCAGCUUUCGAUGGUAGUGUAUUGGACUACCAUGGCUUUCACGGGUAACGGAGGAUUAGGGUUCGAUUCCGGAGAGGGAGCCUGAGAAACGGCUACCACAUCUAAGGAAGGCAGCAGGCGCGUAAAUUACCCAAUCCUGACUCAGGGAGGUAGUGACAAGAAAUAACAGACCGGAGCCUCUGGUUCCGGGAUUGCAAUGAGUACAAUUUAGACUCCUUAACAAGUAACAAUUGGAGGGCAAGUCUGGUGCCAGCAGCCGCGGUAAUUCCAGCUCCAAUAGCGUAUAUUAAAGUUGUUGCAGUUAAAAAGCUCGUAGUUGGAUUUCUGUGAGAGUGCCGGUGUCGGCUGAUGCUUGUACGCAGGCGCUCUUACAUCCUUCUGUUAACUGAUCUUGGCAUUUAUUUGCUGGUUCAGGGCUCAGAUAUUUUACCUUGAGAAAAUUAGAGUGUUUCAGGCAGGCUUAUGCCGGAAUACAUUAGCAUGGAAUAAUGGAACAGGACCUGUGCGUCUCUCGGGGCGCCGGUCUCCGUUGUUGGUUUCGGGGACUAAUGUAAUGAUUAAUAGG
RNAcentral lists this ribosomal RNA (876 nucleotides) under uncultured marine eukaryote. RNAcentral's name for it is "SSU rRNA". It matches the Rfam family "Eukaryotic small subunit ribosomal RNA", at positions 1 to 876 of the family's 1831-position model. The record is from RNAcentral.